CGGGUAGGUUGUCGUUUAGCUCGGCAACCAAAUCUUUCAAUCGAGCAUUGUAUUGAAGCGCCAGUUUGUUGGCCAAAUCCACGCACUCAUCUUCGUUCAGCUGAUUUAUGGUCUUCUGGUAAGACAAAGUCACAGGGUGCCUAGUUUUAUCCACGAUGACCUAUUCGACAAGACAAUUAAUUACAGAAGAAAGCUGUGAGGGACUUUGGUCUUUUUUUUAUGAUCUUAAUUAUAAGACAUUAAAACCAACCCUUAACUCCUAAUUUCAUGUUAUUGGAAAGUAAUACAACAGUCCAUCUGCACUCAACAACUCAAGAAAACCAGGUUUGUGAACAAUCUUUUUGGGGUUGAAGGGGCUGAACCGGGCUAAUAACAAGGCCCAAAGCUAAGAAGAGGUUCUCGUCACAAAUGGGCCAAGAAACAAUAUGAAUUGAAGAUUGAAAAGAAAAGUGGAGUCCCCUGACAGUGCUGGAACCAUGAAGAUCAACGACAUCUAAUCUAAACCAUCAUCAACUUCUCUCUCCACUCUCAACUCUCCUGCAGCCGUAUGCCUUUUUUUCUUUUCUGUCCUUUCAAUUUGAAAACUGAACUCAAUCUCAUAAAACGUUUGAUGAGUAUCGAAAUUCAAAACUUUUCUUU
Molecule: long non-coding RNA, 639 nt
Organism: Vigna angularis (adzuki bean)
Lineage: Eukaryota; Viridiplantae; Streptophyta; Magnoliopsida; Fabales; Fabaceae
Exons: 4
Source: RefSeq, a predicted model, not a curated record